This is a long non-coding RNA of Symphalangus syndactylus (siamang), 589 nucleotides long. RefSeq lists it as uncharacterized. The record is from RefSeq and is a predicted model, not a curated record. Lineage: Eukaryota; Metazoa; Chordata; Mammalia; Primates; Hylobatidae.
UCCGCAACUCCUCCAGGUUCUCUCUGAAGGUGAGGCAGCCCACCGAGGCUGUCUCCGUUGCCUGUCUCUGUGAUUGAUGGUCACCAUCAUCCUUCCUCCCCUAGGCGCCUCAAUCUGGACGCACUUAAUCAGGUUCUGAGAUCAUGCACGGGAAAAAGAACAUGUCCUGGAGAGUUGGCUGGCUGGCCGCACCACCUCAAGGGUCACUGAGAGCUAACUGACGCCAUGAAACAUGGAGCACAAAGCAUGGGUCCUAUUUUCCAAAGGAUUCCAAGAAGGGGUGGGCAGCCAUAGGCUCCGUUUGCCAAGUUGGAGUUUUCAGCAGCCAUUGUGGCCUCAUGAAGCAGAAGCUUGCCUAAGAAUGAUGCCAGCACAGAGGAACACAGAGCCUAGGAACGGAGAAACAGAAGUCCCCAUUGACAUCAUUUGAGCACCUGGAUUCAGCCUUGCCUGAAGCUGAUGUACCUAGUCUUUUUAGUUAUAGGUUAACAUUUCCCUUUUUAGCUUGGACUAGUUUGUCAGAUUUCUCCUCUUUGAAUGGAAAAAGUCUUGACUACAACACUAAUGAAUGCAAAUGAGUUGUCUUUUA